This 497-nucleotide ribosomal RNA is filed under the name uncultured bacterium. Its description in RNAcentral is "partial 16S ribosomal RNA". It matches the Rfam family "Bacterial small subunit ribosomal RNA", at positions 28 to 507 of the family's 1533-position model. The record is from RNAcentral.
GAUGAACGCUGGCGGCGUGCCUAAUACAUGCAAGUCGAGCGAACAGACGAGGCGCUUGCUCCUCUGACGUUAGCGACGGACGGGUGAGUAACACGUGGAUAACCUACCUAUAAGACUGGGAUAACUUCGGGAAACCGGAGCUAAUACCGGAUAAUAUAUUGAACCGCAUGGUUGAAUAGUGAAAGACGGUUUUGCUGUCACUGCUAGAUGGAUCCGCGCCGCAUUAGCUAGUUGGUAAGGUAACGGCUUACCAAUGCAACGAUGCGUAGCCGACCUGAGAGGGUGAUCGGCCACUCUGGAACUGAGACGCGGUCCAGACUCCUACGGGAGGCAGCAGUAGGGACUCUUGCGCGAUGGGCGAAAGCCUGCCGGAGCAGCGCCGCGUGAGUGAUGAAGGUCUUCGGAUCGUAAAACUCUCUUAUUAGGGAAGAACAAAUGUGUAAGUAACUAUGCACGUCUUGACGGUACCUAAUCAGAAAGCCCCGGCUAACUACGUG